CCGUAGGUGAACUGCGGAAGGAUCAUUAAUGAAUUUUGGAUGGAGACGGUCAAAGCGAAGACUCACGUCGUUCGCUUUCCGUCGAUCUCGCUCUCACACACUUGUGCACCUAUUGUAGGUCCUCGAAAGAGGAUCUAUGUUUCUAUAUAAUACACCCGUCGUAUGUCUACAGAAUGUCAGAAAGCUUUACCGAACGGAGGGUGAUUCCUCCUAAUAGAGGGCUCGAAUUUUAUACAACUUUCAGCAAUGGAUCUCUUGGCUCUCGCAUCGAUGAAGAACGCAGCGAAUUGCGAUAAGUAAUGUGAAUUGCAGAUUUUCAGUGAAUCAUCGAAUCUUUGAACGCACCUUGCGCUCCUUGGUAUUCCGAGGAGCAUGCCUGUUUGAGUGUCAGUGAAUUCAUCAACCAUGUCGUCGACAUAUGCGACAUGGCUUGGACUUGGGAGCUGCCGGUCAGUCACGAUCGGCUCUCCUGAAAUACAUUAGUGGAGGGAUGGAGACUAGCGUUUCUUUGGCCUUGGACGUGUUAAACCCUCGCCCUGGCUGGAGUGUCGCUACGCUCUCGAACCGGUCUGCUUCGAACACUAUAUAUCGAGAUCAGUUACUACCAGCACGGACGAACGCGGCUCGAACUUCAAACGUCGAGCUUAGCUAUUAGUCUGGAUGGGAACACGGUCUCAAUUCAUUGGAAACU
This 691-nucleotide ribosomal RNA is filed under the name Boletus sp. YM360. Its description in RNAcentral is "eukaryotic LSU rRNA". The stretch from base 236 to 390 matches the Rfam family "5.8S ribosomal RNA". The record is from RNAcentral. Lineage: Eukaryota; Fungi; Basidiomycota; Agaricomycetes; Boletales; Boletaceae.